Acanthopagrus latus (yellowfin seabream) is the source of this 1071-nucleotide long non-coding RNA. RefSeq lists it as uncharacterized. The transcript is spliced from 3 exons. NCBI's taxonomy places the organism in Eukaryota, Metazoa, Chordata, Actinopteri, Spariformes, Sparidae. The record is from RefSeq and is a predicted model, not a curated record.
AUGAACACAUCCAGAACUCGAGAACAAAAAUGACUCAAACAAAGAAUCUUAACUGUUCAGUUUGAUAGCUGAUGUAACUAACACAGGUUUAAAUUUGUGCAAGUUGAUUUUUGAACACUUACUUGCUAAAGAAUCCUUAAGAGAUCAGAUAUUAGCUGCUCACUGCAAUACUUCAUUGAUUAACAGCAACUUUGCUAAUCAGCUGCUGAUUGUCUCUCUUUGGUAAUAAAUCAAAUAUAUCUUACGAUGUGAAGAGUUCAGCAGGACUUUUUGGACAUUUUUCACUUUACACCUAAAAGACUAACAUAUUAAAUAAGAAGUAGUUGUCACGUUAGUCAAUAAUGAAACGUUCUGCAGCCCUGAACAUGUGGAACAUUGUGGAAAACCGGAGUGAUGCCACGUCUCAGCGGUUCGUCAGAAUCGUGUGUGAAAGCAGAGUAAACACGUUCCUUUCAUACGUCUCUGCAGAGCAACACAUCGGGUUUGUGUUCAGAGCGACGGAACAACUGGACCUCGUGUGGCGGCGGCGGCUGGACACGGGACGGACGGAGCGAGGGGGGGAGCGAGUCGUGACCUCUGAUUGGCCGAAGCGACACAGAGACGGCUUUGGUUUGGGAGCACCCUGUCCUCCGUAUGGUGUCAGAAUCACUUCCUGUGCCUCCCUCACAUGUGUUCUCAUGAUGAAGCUUUAGUUUGGACACCAGACGGAUCUUCCUCCUCGUACAGUAAAAUGCGUGACCCCCCGCUGCUGAGCAGUCAUGUAGUGAACUAACCACAUCUACUGCAGGACUCCUGAUGACACGUCAGAAGGUCGCGUGGUGUGAACAGCACUGUCACGGCCUGAUUCAGGGUUUAGCAGACAGGAGACGUGGGGUGUCGACGACGCGUCAACAGCUUCCUCCCGCCUCCAUUUGUCCACACUGUUAGGAAUCUGUGUGUGUGUGUGUGUGUGUGUGUGUGUGUGUGCUCAGUGUGAUCACAUUAGUGAAAGUAGUAAGUGUUAAUUGGACAGUUAAUAUCAGAGGUGUGUGUAGUAAUUACCAUAAUGUGCGUCAGAUAACAGAGUCACAG